GACGAACGCUGGCGGCGUGCCUAACACAUGCAAGUCAACUUGACUGAAGGAGCAAUCUGACAGUAGAGUGGCGCAAGGGUGCGUAACGCGUAAGUAACUUGCCCCAAGGUAAGGAAUAACGUCGAGAAAUCGGCGCUAAUACCUCAUAAUGCAGCGGAUCCGCAUGGAUAUGUUGUUAAAGGUUUACCGCCUUGGGAUAGGCUUGCGUCUGAUUAGCUAGUUGGUGUGGUAACGGCACACCAAGGCUACGAUCAGUAACUGGUCUGAGAGGAUGAUCAGUCACACUGGAACUGAGACACGGCCCAGACUCCUACGGGAGGCAGCAGUUGGGAAUCUUCGGCAAUGGGCGCAAGCCUGACCGAGCAACGCCGCGUGAGUGAUGGAAGGUUUUCGGAUUGUAAAGCUCUGUCUUCCGGGACGAUAAUGACGGUACCGGAGGAGGAAGCCACGGCUAACUACGUGCCAGCAGCCGCGGUAAAGUC
RNAcentral lists this ribosomal RNA (482 nucleotides) under uncultured bacterium. RNAcentral describes it as "bacterial SSU rRNA". It matches the Rfam family "Bacterial small subunit ribosomal RNA", at positions 28 to 526 of the family's 1533-position model. The record is from RNAcentral.